This 699-nucleotide ribosomal RNA is filed under the name Bacillus sp. (in: firmicutes). RNAcentral's name for it is "bacterial SSU rRNA". It matches the Rfam family "Bacterial small subunit ribosomal RNA", at positions 72 to 756 of the family's 1533-position model. Lineage: Bacteria; Bacillati; Bacillota; Bacilli; Caryophanales; Bacillaceae. The record is from RNAcentral.
UGAGGUGCUUGCACCUCUUGGUUAGCGGCGGACGGGUGAGUAACACGUGGGCAACCUGCCUGUAAGACUGGGAUAACUUCGGGAAACCGGAGCUAAUACCGGAUAAUCCUUUUCCUCUCAUGAGGAAAAGCUGAAAGUCGGUUUCGGCUGACACUUACAGAUGGGCCCGCGGCGCAUUAGCUAGUUGGUGAGGUAACGGCUCACCAAGGCGACGAUGCGUAGCCGACCUGAGAGGGUGAUCGGCCACACUGGGACUGAGACACGGCCCAGACUCCUACGGGAGGCAGCAGUAGGGAAUCUUCCGCAAUGGACGAAAGUCUGACGGAGCAACGCCGCGUGAGCGAUGAAGGCCUUCGGGUCGUAAAGCUCUGUUGUUAGGGAAGAACAAGUACCGGAGUAACUGCCGGUACCUUGACGGUACCUAACCAGAAAGCCACGGCUAACUACGUGCCAGCAGCCGCGGUAAUACGUAGGUGGCAAGCGUUGUCCGGAAUUAUUGGGCGUAAAGCGCGCGCAGGCGGUCCUUUAAGUCUGAUGUGAAAGCCCACGGCUCAACCGUGGAGGGUCAUUGGAAACUGGGGGACUUGAGUACAGAAGAGGAAAGCGGAAUUCCACGUGUAGCGGUGAAAUGCGUAGAGAUGUGGAGGAACACCAGUGGCGAAGGCGGCUUUCUGGUCUGUAACUGACGCUGAGGCGCGA